GACGAACGCUGGCGGCGUGCUUAACACAUGCAAGUCGAACGGAAAGGCCCUGCGUUUGUGGGGUGCUUGUGUGGCGAACGGGUGAGUAACACGUGUGUAAACUGCCCUUGACAUUGGGAUAACUUCUGGGAACUGGGGCUCAUACCGGAUAGGAGCUCCUGAUGCAUAGUGUUGGUUGGAAAGAGUCGGCGGUGGGGGAUGGUAUCGCGGCUUACCAGCUUGAUGGGGGGGUAGUGACUUCCGAAGGCUUUGAGGGGUAGCCGGCCUGGGAGGGUUACCGGCCACAUGGGGACUGAGGUACGGAGCAGAAGGCAACGGGAGGCAGUGGUGGGAAAUAUGGCGGAAUGGGGGGACGCGUGAGGCAGCAACGCCGGGAGCGGGAUGACGGCCUUCGAGUUGAGAACAGCUUUGGACGGAGACGAAGAGAGAGUGACGGUAAUGGGUAAAGAAGCACCGGCUAACUACGUG
Molecule: ribosomal RNA, 468 nt
Filed under: uncultured bacterium
Lineage: Bacteria
Description: partial 16S ribosomal RNA
Rfam family: Bacterial small subunit ribosomal RNA
Source: RNAcentral